GAUGAGCGCUGGCGGCGUGCCUAAUACAUGCAAGUCGAGCGAACGGACGAGAAGCUUGCUUCUCUGAUGUUAGCGGCGGACGGGUGAGUAACACGUGGAUAACCUACCUAUAAGACUGGGAUAACUUCGGGAAACCGGAGCUAAUACCGGAUAAUAUUUUGAACCGCAUGGUUCAAAAGUGAAAGACGGUCUUGCUGUCACUUAUAGAUGGAUCCGCGCUGCAUUAGCUAGUUGGUAAGGUAACGGCUUACCAAGGCAACGAUGCAUAGCCGACCUGAGAGGGUGAUCGGCCACCCUGGAGCUGAGACACGGUCCAGACUCCUACGGGAGGCAGCAGUAGGGAAUCUUCCGCAAUGGGCGAAAGCCUGACGGAGCAACGCCGCGUGAGUGAUGAAGGUCUUCGGAUCGUAAAACUCUGUUAUUAGGGAAGAACAUAUGUGUAAGUAACUGUGCACAUCUUGACGGUACCUAAUCAGAAAGCCACGGCUAACUACGUG
RNAcentral lists this ribosomal RNA (497 nucleotides) under uncultured bacterium. Its description in RNAcentral is "partial 16S ribosomal RNA". It matches the Rfam family "Bacterial small subunit ribosomal RNA", at positions 28 to 507 of the family's 1533-position model. The record is from RNAcentral.